This is a non-coding RNA of Pelodiscus sinensis (Chinese soft-shelled turtle), 1593 nucleotides long. The record is from RefSeq and is a predicted model, not a curated record. NCBI's taxonomy places the organism in Eukaryota, Metazoa, Chordata, Testudines, Trionychidae.
CCCCGACGUUCAAGGAGGCGGAGAGUGAGGUGGCUGGAGAAGCUGAUGGGCAGGCUAAGCUUUGGGGCGCAGCGCACGCUGCGGAUGGGCAGGCCAGCAGAGAGGGAUCCGAGGGCAAUCCAGGCACUGCCCAGCAGGUAAUGGCUGAUCGCUGCACCUGUCAUGGGGAAGACCCACCAUGCACACUUGCUGCUGUGGGAUCUACCUCUCCCAAGCCAAAGAGACGCCCUCAUGCGUGAGGUACAAGUGAGGCGGGUGUGCCUGGCCAGGCACGGGUGACACGUCGUUGUGCUAUGCAAUCCCUGGUAGGUGGCGUAGGCCCAUGGCCCUCAUCUUUUCCCUACCAGGAUCCCCCCCAUUUAGCAACAUGGUGGUUGCAACCAGUGUUCCCUGUAGGCCAGGCACUUGGGUGGUCACCCCCAGGAGAGAGUCAAAUGCCACCCAGCUUAUUAGCAGAGCACCCCCAGCCGGCAGCAGGUGUUUCUAGUAGGGGUGUAUGCACCUUGGUGCACAUAAGAAAAUUUAUUCCACACACCAAUAUGAAAAAUCAGAGGGGAGUUUGGUUGGGACUCUCUGGGGACCGGCUUGUAACGCUCCCCAUGCUCUCAGGAAAGUGCUUUAGAGGAGCUGUUGGUCUGAGGGAAUGCAGGGGUUUCAUGAAAUCCGGCCCCCGGCCUGCCCUUGUUCCACUGAUAGAUGGUGUCGUUGGACCUGGGGAAGCAGCACAGUUCUGACAUGUGGCUGUCGCUGUCUGAGACAGAAAAAACCCAGUCGGGCCACUGGGCCCUCUGCCAGCCCCAAGCAGGGCUGUGGUUUGACAAUGUUUCUAUCAGGCAGCUGAUCUAAAUGCCUUCCCCAUGGGAGCAUUUCCCCUAGAACUUUUCUCCCUGCCUCCCUGGUGUUUGCUUUUCAGAAGGACGCAGCUGCUCCAGAUGGGCCCUCAAAUGCUACCGCUUUGGACGCAGCUUUGGAAGCUGGCCUGUCUGCCAACGCCGGGAAAAUGGUCGCCCCACCUCUUGCCCUCCAAAGUAAUGCCAAGGAAAAUGCCCUUGAAAUCCCAGCUGAAUCCGCAGCCCAGGGCAGGGGAACUACCGAGAGCGAAGAAGCCACUUGCUUUGGCCAAGCUGAGCUGCUCAGCACCUUGGACAGCACCACGGGCGACAAGGAUGCUGUUGACUCCAGCUGGGUAGCCAGUACCUCCAAAGACACCGCAGAGGGAGCACUGGCCUUGGAGGAAAUGGCUUCUGUCUCCUGCCAGGGCCCUGCGGCGGCAGACGGGAAGAGAGAAGACACCAAUGAGAUUCUGUUUGGGAGCAACCCCGCGCCUGCUCUGUGAUGUCCAGCCGUAGAAAAGGCUCCCUUUCCAAGCUCAGUUGCUUACACCCAGCCCUUGCAGUUCUGUGCUUUCCUGGUGAACUUUUUGGCUCCGAAGUCCACCCGCCUGGAUUUUCGCUGGAAGGUGGAGACAGCAGCUAGCCAGAAGCAGGGCCCCAGUGGGGGUGCCAGCUAGGAACAGGCCUGGCCACACUUAGAAGAGCAGAGUCCUUGGAACUUACCAAGGGCCCUGCUAAGAUUGGUGCAUGCAAAUAAAAU